Sus scrofa (pig) is the source of this 1338-nucleotide non-coding RNA. Lineage: Eukaryota; Metazoa; Chordata; Mammalia; Artiodactyla; Suidae. The record is from the annotation of a RefSeq genome assembly.
GCCCUUUUCUUAUUGGCUGGGUAGACAAUGUGAGAACCCACUAUGGCUGUUGGAGAAAAGUAGGGAUCACUUGAUAAUCAGUGUAGCUCUCUUGGCUGAAUACAGCAGGUCCAUAAUUGAUCCUAGAUGGGGAGAGCAAUGAAGACCUCCAUUGGAGUUUCAAUCCUGUUCUUGGGGCUGCAGCUGGACUGGGUCAGCCUUGGAGAGAAGGUGGAGCAGAGUCCUACCCUGAGUGUCCAGGAGGGAAACAGCUCUGUUAUCACCUGCACUUAUACGGACAGUACCUCAGACUACUUCCCUUGGUAUAAGCAAGAACCUGGAAAAGGUCUCCGGUUACUUACAUACAUUCGAGCAAAUGGGGUCAAGCAGGAAGAAGAAAGACUCACUGUCUCAUUGAAUAAGACAGCCAAGCAUUUCUCCCUGCACAUCGCAGUCACCCAGCCUGAAGACUCAGCUGUCUACUUCUGUGCAGCAAGUGCACACUGCUUCUGAGGCACUUACCCUCUGUACGCAAACCUGUGACCAGGGCAGCUCCCUUCCUUUGGCACAAACCUUUUGUUCUAUUGUUUGUGUGCAAGUAGAAACUAAUGUAUUAGAUGUGAAAUGUCAAUAAGAAGAAGAUUCUGUUUAAGAUGAUUAAGAAAGUGUUAGAACAUUUUGUUGGAUGACUAUUACUUAAUGGAUUCUUGGAGGGAGUUAGUGAGGUUUUAGUUUGAUAUUCAGGCUUUAAAAUGAUUUUACAUUUCCUAAUCAUCUCCUUUCAUAUAAACAACAAUAUCACAGUCUUUUUAUAGGUGAGCUCUUUUUAUACAUGAGCUUUAACUCAUCUUAUUUUUUGCUUAUUAUAAUACAUUCUGUGAUAAAAUUAGAAAAUGCAUAAAAUAAAUAAUAUGAAUUGAUAAUUCUGCCCUCUAUUGCAAAUAUGUGGUUUGCUAUUUUCAUAAAUUCUGAUAUAAUUUGAAUUUGAUUUUUUUCACUGAAUGUUUUACUUUGAAUUGAGCAUUUCCAAUUUCUCCUCUGAUACUUGCUUUUUAAGUCUUCAUGAGAGAUUUUUAUAAACCACAAUUAUAUUUAAAAUUUUCUUUCUCUGUGUUUUUCUGGCAAAAUUUUAUAGCUCUUUGUGUUCUGAAGACUGUCUUGUUGAAAAAAUGUGACUUGGGGUUUCCUUUAGCGUCCAGUGUUGGUAUAUAUUUUCUGUGUGUUUAAGGGAAUUUGAAAUAAGAAGCAUUUCAUUCAAGAAUAUGAAUGUGUUUUAGGUUUAUAAGUCAAGUCUUCUUGUCAAAAAUGUUGUUACUGCUCACCUUUACUCUCAUAUAAUUUAGAAGGGAGAGCUGUGUU